Molecule: long non-coding RNA, 260 nt
Organism: Mytilus californianus (California mussel)
Lineage: Eukaryota; Metazoa; Mollusca; Bivalvia; Mytilida; Mytilidae
Exons: 2
Source: RefSeq, a predicted model, not a curated record
CUAAACCAAACACUCUUGUUGGUGCUUCAGUCUGCAGAAUUACAUAUUUCAGACGAAAACACAGCUGAAGAGGACAUAUUAAUUGGAGACUAUGCAGUGAGUAAGACAACUUAGAGAUAAAGAGAGAACCGAAACCAAUAACAUUCAUUGUGCAAUUUGAGUUCUAAUUUGAAUUACCAGGAAGAAGAAAAAGAAAGAUGUAAUAAGACUGAUGUAAUAUGUAACUAUGGACAGUACUGAUCCAUUCUCCAAUAUCACAG